UACAGAGGGUGCAAGCGUUAAUCGGAAUUAUUGGGCGUAAAGGGCAUGUAGGUGGCGAUUUAAGUCUGAUGUGAAAGCCCUGGGCUUAACCUGGGAAUUGCGUUGGAAACUGGAUAGCUAGAGUCGGACAGAGGGCCGUGGAAUUUCCGGUGUAGCAGUGAAAUGCGUAGAGAUCGGAAAGAACACCUGUGGCGAAGGCGGCGGCCUGGGACCAGACUGACACUGAGGUGCGAAAGCAUGGGGAGCAAACAGG
This 253-nucleotide ribosomal RNA is filed under the name uncultured bacterium. RNAcentral describes it as "partial 16S ribosomal RNA". It matches the Rfam family "Bacterial small subunit ribosomal RNA", at positions 524 to 776 of the family's 1533-position model. The record is from RNAcentral.